Molecule: ribosomal RNA, 372 nt
Filed under: uncultured organism
Description: bacterial SSU rRNA
Rfam family: Bacterial small subunit ribosomal RNA
Source: RNAcentral
CGUAGGGGGCUAGCGUUGUCCGGAAUCAUUGGGCGUAAAGCGCGUGUAGGCGGCCCGGUAAGUCCGCUGUGAAAGUCGGGGGCUCAACCCUCGAAAGCCGGUGGAUACUGUCGGGCUCGAGUACGGAAGAGGCGAGUGGAAUUCCUGGUGUAGCGGUGAAAUGCGCAGAUAUCAGGAGGAACACCGAUUGCGAAGGCAGCUCGCUGGGACGUUACUGACGCUGAGACGCGAAAGCGUGGGGAGCAAACAGGAUUAGAUACCCUGGUAGUCCACGCUGUAAACGAUGGGCACUAGGUGUGGGGGGUGUCGACUCCCUCCGUGCCGAAGCUAACGCAUUAAGUGCCCCGCCUGGGGAGUACGGCCGCAAGGCUA